GUGGGUUCUGUGAUUGUUAAUUUUGUAUUAUCCUGCCUCCAUUAAUUACCUUUUUUUUUUUUUUAAAGGUUACCUGCCUUUAGUUAAGAGGCAAAGUACAGGCUUGUGGUUGAUUCAGUUCCAAUUACAAGCAUGAUGUUUACCUUCGGAAGAUCAUUUCCUUUGGGCUUAAAGCUUCGAGUUUACCUCCUUUGUUGAUUUCUCUCCCCAUCUUCACAUUCACCGGAUGCAGUCUUGCAUGUUUACUUGGCAAACCAAGAACGAGGAGACACUUUGUAGGGCUAUGAUUCCUUAAGAAGAAGGCACAGCCUAGUUUUUGUUCACUAUAGCGCCCAGCACAAUGUGCUGCAUGUAAUAGCCACACACAAAAUAUUAAUUGAAGAAAAUAUAGAUGUUUAUUCCAAAAUUAUAAAGAUUUCACUAUUUUGGUUUGGAUAUUGCUUUUGAGAUCCCUAUUAGUACACAGCAUUUUUAUGGACAAUCUAGAACAUCUCUAUUUCACACCCCAGUCAUCAAAACUUCCUGAGCAGGCAAAGGAUGAAAACUUGCUCCAACAGGUCACACACCUCUCCAGAAACUUUCUGCUUCCGGCCUGGACUAGAAGUAAAAGGGUUCCUGAAGUUCUUUCUAUUCAUGAACCAGGAGGGAGGAGGAGGCAAAAGCCCAAACUGCCAUGUGUUUGCUGGAAGGAUGGCAAAAAAAGAAAACGGAGAUGGAGGAAGAAAGAAACCUUGGUUUCUAAAAGCCGUGCAAGUGAAAACUGGAAGUUUGACAGCAGGCCAGCAGGGUAGAAGAGAAAGGAAGUUGCCUCGGGGCUCAUCUGCGCCCCAGGAAUGGCCUUGGAAGGUGGUAUUUUACAACAGGCAUAUGGUGCUGGCUUCGAUCAGAGAUCAUUUCCACUUGUGUGCCGCUUCUCAUGAUAAAUAAGAAACCCAUCAGAGAAGUAUCCUCGUGGGAAAACAGCCCAAUGGUGGGUGAUACUAACUUCUAUCUUUCUAGAUCAUCGAGAUUUUAUACAGAUAGAAUGGAGCCUACGAACUUGGAGGACACCUGCAGCGUCUGAGACUCUGCAUCCAACUUUUCCAUGUGCUUUUUUUCAAUUCCCCCACUGUGCACCAACCACAGGCAACACCAUUGCACUGGAUAAUGACGGCUCCGACCCUCAGAAUCUUUCACAAUCUGAGUUGAUCAUAAUUUUACCAUACCAUGAAGCAUGAAGUAAAAUGCCUGUGAGAAGUUUCAUGCGCAAUCUGGAAUGAGAACUGCUACACAGAAUUUCAUAAUUCAAAAAAUUACAAGUGGUGAUAACGGCUUGCAUGUUGCGGCACCUGAAGAUUUCAAAUCUCUACUCACAGGUUGUCAAGCCUAGUACUGGGAAGUGAGAGUGGAUUUCUUCUUCCCUUUCAUGCUUCCCCGAACAACAGGACCCUCAGAGAGUACUGCCCAGGAGCCACGACAGUGAAUCCAAUGGUGGACAGUGACAAGAAGGAUCAAGAGAGAAUCUUCUCACGGCCCAUUCCUUAACAGGGAAUGUCCCAUGUCAGCUGGAUAGUCCUGGGGACCACUGGUGAUAAAGGGUGUCCAUGGCAAAACUACGCAGACAGUGAAAAGCCCAGUGGUUGUCAGGGAUGUGGGGAGGGAGAGAUGGAUAGAGAGAGCACAGAGGAUUGUUAGAGCAGUGAAAAUACUCUGUAUGAUAUUAUAAUGGUGGAUACGUCAUUGUACAUUUAUUCAAACUCACAGAAUGUACAAUGCCAAGAGUGAACACUAAUGUAAACUACGGACUUUGGGUGAUAAUGAUGUAUCAGCGUAGGUUCAUCAGUUGAAACAAAUGUACCACUCUGGUGGGGGAUGCUGAUCAUGAAGGAGGCUGUGGGUGUGUGGGGGCAGGGAGCGUAUGGGAAAUUUCUGUACAUUCCUCUCCAUUUUGCUGUGAGCCUUAAACUGCUUUAAAAAUAACAAUAAGAAAGUCUUAAUUUUAAAAGAAAAGGGAAAAAAAGAAAUACAGUGGAGCAAUCCUGAAAAAAAAAAUAGCCACUAAUAUUGUAAAAUAACUUACCAUUUACAAAACAUACUCAUACUGAUCACUACAUUUGAUGCUCACGUUAACCUUGCAGAUUAGAUAUGAUUCCACCCCCAUUUCACAAGAAGGUAACUAAAGCUCCAAGAGGGCAAAUGACUUAAACAAGGUCACUUGGUUCAUAAGUGGCAGAACUAGGAUUCUAAAUUUUUUUCACUUUACAAUAUAAACUCAGUCUUUAAGGUGCAAUUGUCAUCAAUUAUACCUCAAUAGAGCUGAAAAAAUGCAAUUGUCUUAGAAGCAUAAGUAGAGAAAUGCAGUAUAAACUUCUUUUCACUAUUAAUAAUCAACUUACCAUUAUACAUUUAAGUAAAACAAAGUAACUCAAACUAAA
Molecule: long non-coding RNA, 2414 nt
Organism: Equus asinus (donkey)
Lineage: Eukaryota; Metazoa; Chordata; Mammalia; Perissodactyla; Equidae
Source: Ensembl